CUGAUCGGCCACAUUGGGACUGAGACACGGCCCAAACUCCUACGGGAGGCUGCAGUAGGGAAUCUUCCACAAUGGGCGAAAGCCUGAUGGAGCAACGCCGCGUGUGUGAUGAAGGCUUUCGGGUCGUAAAGCACUGUUGUAUGGGAAGAAAAGUUAAGGUAGGGAAUGACCUUAGCCUGACGGUACCAUACCAGAAAGGGACGGCUAAAUACGUGCCAGCAGCCGCGGUAAUACGUAUGUCCCGAGCGUUAUCCGGAUUUAUUGGGCGUAAAGCGAGCGCAGACGGUUGGUUAAGUCUGAUGUGAAAGCCCGGAGCUCAACUCCGGAAAGGCAUUGGAAACUGGUUAACUUGAGUGCAGUAGAGGUAAGUGGAACUCCAUGUGUAGCGGUGGAAUGCGUAGAUAUAUGGAAGAACACCAGCGGCGAAGGCGGCUUACUGGACUGUAACUGACGUUGAGGCUCGAAAGUGUGGGUAGCAAACAGGAUUAGAUACCCUGGUAGUCCACACCGUAAACGAUGAACACUAGGUGUUAGGAGGUUUCCGCCUCUUAGUGCCGAAGCUAACGCAUUAAGUGUUCCGCCUGGGGAGUACGACCGCAAGGUUGAAACUCAAAGGAAUUGACGGGGACCCGCACAAGCGGUGGAGCAUGUGGUUUAAUUCGAAGCAACGCGAAGAACCUUACCAGGUCUUGACAUCCUUUGAAGCUUUUAGAAAUAGAAGUGUUCUCUUCGGAGACAAAGUGACAGGUGGUGCAUGGUCGUCGUCAGCUCGUGUCGUGAGAUGUUGGGUUAAGUCCCGCAACGAGCGCAACCCUUAUUGUUAGUUGCCAGCAUUCAGAUGGGCACUCUAGCGAGACUGCCGGUGACAAACCGGAGGAAGGCGGGGACGACGUCAGAUCAUCAUGCCCCUUAUGACCUGGGCUACACACGUGCUACAAUGGCGUAUACAACGAGUUGCCAACCUGCGAAGGUGAGCUAAUCUCUUAAAGUACGUCUCAGUUCGGACUGCAGUCUGCAACUCGACUGCACGAAGUCGGAAUCGCUAGUAAUCGCGGAUCAGCACGCCGCGGUGAAUACGUUCCCGGGUCUUGUACACACCGCCCGUCACACCAUGGAAGUUUGUAAUGCCCAAAGCCGGUGGCCUAACCGUAAGGAGGGAACCGUCUAAGG
RNAcentral lists this ribosomal RNA (1170 nucleotides) under Leuconostoc carnosum. RNAcentral describes it as "bacterial SSU rRNA". It matches the Rfam family "Bacterial small subunit ribosomal RNA", at positions 300 to 1462 of the family's 1533-position model. The record is from RNAcentral. Lineage: Bacteria; Bacillati; Bacillota; Bacilli; Lactobacillales; Lactobacillaceae.